RNAcentral lists this ribosomal RNA (274 nucleotides) under uncultured bacterium. Its description in RNAcentral is "partial 16S ribosomal RNA". It matches the Rfam family "Bacterial small subunit ribosomal RNA", at positions 524 to 793 of the family's 1533-position model. The record is from RNAcentral.
UACGGGGGGGGCAAGUGUUAUUCAGAAUAAUUGGGCGUAAAGGGUACGUAGGCGGUCAGAUCGGCUCAAGCCUAAGCCAAUAGGCUUAACCUAUGGACGGCCUUGUAGCAGUUCUGACUUUGAGUCGGAGAGGGAAGAGGUGGAAUUUCUAGUGGAGAGAUUAAAUUCAUAGAUAUUAGAAGGAAGGCCAGCGGCGAAGGCAACUCGUUUAGAUCCAGACUGACGCUAAGGUACGAAAGCGUGGGGAGCAAACGGGGAUUAAGAAACCCGUGAG